UGAAAGGCAGUGAAGAAGAGGAGUACACAUAGAAGCCCUGACAGAGAGAACCGCGCAGGUUGAGAGACGGUUCCGGGAAACGGAUGUGGAAGGUAGCUUCGGAGCCGGAUUUCUGAAAAACCGCGUUCUGCUAUGACUUAGGAAUGCUGUGAAAGAGAGUGGUGGAUAAGAGAUCCCGGGAGUUCCCGUUAUAGAAUCAAGAGGAUUGGGGUAAAGUCUGGAUGUGUGCAAAGAAAACACCGGCGGGCGGAAAUCCUGAUUGAAUUAAGGUGGUACCGCGUAUAUGACGCCCUUUGC
This 297-nucleotide non-coding RNA is filed under the name Clostridium sp. RNAcentral's name for it is "T-box sequence". It matches the Rfam family "T-box leader". Rfam says of the family: Uncharged tRNA acts as the effector for transcription antitermination of genes in the T-box leader family. T-boxes are found upstream of many aminoacyl-tRNA synthetase genes and some amino acid biosynthetic genes usually in Gram-positive bacteria. The record is from RNAcentral. Lineage: Bacteria; Bacillati; Bacillota; Clostridia; Eubacteriales; Clostridiaceae.